UUAACAAGAGAGUUUGAUCCUGGCUCAGGAUAAACGCUGGCGGCGCACAUAAGACAUGCAAGUCGAACGGAAGUCGUUGUAAUGAUGUGGACAUGAACGGAGAACUUGUUCAAAGAGAGUGAAAAUUGACUUACAACAAUGGCUUUAGUGGCGGACUGGUGAGUAAUGUAUAAGUAACCUGCCUAUCAGAGGGGAACAACAGUUGGAAACGACUGCUAAUACCGCAUAUGCCAUAAGGGAGACAUCU
Molecule: ribosomal RNA, 247 nt
Filed under: Clostridiales bacterium
Lineage: Bacteria; Bacillati; Bacillota; Clostridia; Eubacteriales
Description: partial 16S ribosomal RNA
Rfam family: Bacterial small subunit ribosomal RNA
Source: RNAcentral